RNAcentral lists this ribosomal RNA (477 nucleotides) under uncultured bacterium. RNAcentral's name for it is "partial 16S ribosomal RNA". It matches the Rfam family "Bacterial small subunit ribosomal RNA", at positions 30 to 507 of the family's 1533-position model. The record is from RNAcentral.
AUUGAACGCUGGCGGCAUGCCUUACACAUGCAAGUCGAACGGUAACAGGUUAAGCUGACGCGUGGCGCACGGGCGAGUAACGUAUCGGUAACUGCUCAGUCGUGGGGGAUAACUGCUCGAAAGAGCAGCUAAUACCGCAUACGAUCCGAGGGUGAAUGCGGGGCAGCGCAAGACCUCGGGCGAUUGGAGCGUCCGAUAUCAGAUUAGGUAGUUGGUGAGGUAAAGGCUUACCAAGCCGACGAUCUGUAGCUGGUCUGAGAGGACGAUCAGCCACACUGGGACUGAGACACGGCCCAGACUCCUACGGGAGGCAGCAGUGGGGAAUUUUGGACAAUGGGCGCAAGCCUGAUCCAGCCAUGCCGCGUGCGGGAAGAAGGCCUUCGGGUUGUAAACCGCUUUUGUCAGGGAAGAAAAGGUUCUGGCUAAUACCUGGAACUCAUGACGGUACCUGAAGAAUAAGCACCGGCUAACUACGUG